RNAcentral lists this ribosomal RNA (580 nucleotides) under Clostridioides difficile. RNAcentral's name for it is "bacterial SSU rRNA". It matches the Rfam family "Bacterial small subunit ribosomal RNA", at positions 1 to 606 of the family's 1533-position model. Lineage: Bacteria; Bacillati; Bacillota; Clostridia; Peptostreptococcales; Peptostreptococcaceae. The record is from RNAcentral.
UUUUAUUUGAGAGUUUGAUCCUGGCUCAGGAUGAACGCUGGCGGCGUGCCUAACACAUGCAAGUUGAGCGAUUUACUUCGGUAAAGAGCGGCGGACGGGUGAGUAACGCGUGGGUAACCUACCCUGUACACACGGAUAACAUACCGAAAGGUAUGCUAAUACGGGAUAAUAUAUUUGAGAGGCAUCUCUUAAAUAUCAAAGGUGAGCCAGUACAGGAUGGACCCGCGUCUGAUUAGUUAGUUGGUAAGGUAACGGCUUACCAAGGCGACGAUCAGUAGCCGACCUGAGAGGGUGAUCGGCCACAUUGGAACUGAGACACGGUCCAAACUCCUACGGGAGGCAGCAGUGGGGAAUAUUGCACAAUGGGCGAAAGCCUGAUGCAGCAACGCCGCGUGAGUGAUGAAGGCCUUCGGGUCGUAAAACUCUGUCCUCAAGGAAGAUAAUGACGGUACUUGAGGAGGAAGCCCCGGCUAACUACGUGCCAGCAGCCGCGGUAAUACGUAGGGGGCUAGCGUUAUCCGGAUUUACUGGGCGUAAAGGGUGCGUAGGCGGUCUUUCAAGUCAGGAGUGAAAGGCUACG